GAUGAACGCUGGCGGCGUGCCUAAUACAUGCAAGUCGAGCGAACAGACGAGGAGCUUGCUCCUCUGACGUUAGCGGCGGACGGGUGAGUAACACGUGGAUAACCUACCUAUAAGACUGGGAUAACUUCGGGAAACCGGAGCUAAUACCGGAUAAUAUAUUGAACCGCAUGGUUCAAUAGUGAAAGACGGUUUUGCUGUCACUUAUAGAUGGAUCCGCGCCGCAUUAGCUAGUUGGUAAGGUAACGGCUUACCAAGGCAACGAUGCGUAGCCGACCUGAGAGGGGGAUGGGCAACACGGGAACGGGGACACGGUCCAGACUCCAACGGAGGGCAGCGGUAGGGAAUCUUCCGCAAGGGGGAAAAGCCGGACGGGGCAACGCCGCGGGAGGAAUGAAGGUCUUCGGAUCGUAAAACUCUGUAUUAGGGAAGAACAAAUGUGUAAGUAACUAUGCACGUCUUGACGGUACCUAAUCAGAAAGCCACGGCUAACUACGU
RNAcentral lists this ribosomal RNA (495 nucleotides) under uncultured bacterium. RNAcentral describes it as "partial 16S ribosomal RNA". It matches the Rfam family "Bacterial small subunit ribosomal RNA", at positions 28 to 506 of the family's 1533-position model. The record is from RNAcentral.